Molecule: ribosomal RNA, 433 nt
Filed under: uncultured bacterium
Lineage: Bacteria
Description: partial 16S ribosomal RNA
Rfam family: Bacterial small subunit ribosomal RNA
Source: RNAcentral
AACGAACGCUGGCGGCAGGCUUAACACAUGCAAGUCGAGCGCAUCCUUCGGGGUGGGCGGCGGACGGGUGAGUAACGCGUGGGAACGUGCCCUCUUCUACGGAAUAGCCUCGGGAAACUGAGAGUAAUGCCGUAUACGCCCGCAAGGGGAAAGAUUUAUCGGAGGAGGAUCGGCCCGCGUUGGAUUAGGUAGUUGGUGGGGUAACGGCCUACCAAGCCGACGAUCCAUAGCUGGUUUGAGAGGAUGAUCAGCCACACUGGGACUGAGACACGGCCCAGACUCCUACGGGAGGCAGCAGUGGGGAAUCUUGGACAAUGGGGGCAACCCUGAUCCAGCCAUGCCGCGUGAUCGAUGAAGGCCUUAGGGUUGUAAAGAUCUUUCAGCUGGGAAGAUAAUGACGGUACCAGCAGAAGAAGCCCCGGCUAACUCCGUG